GGGCGGUUAGCUCAGUUGGCAGAGCGCCAUGUUUACACCGUGGAUGUCGUGGGUUCGACCCCCUCACCGCCCA
This 73-nucleotide transfer RNA is filed under the name Planctomycetaceae bacterium. Its description in RNAcentral is "tRNA-Val". It matches the Rfam family "tRNA". Rfam says of the family: Transfer RNA (tRNA) molecules are approximately 80 nucleotides in length. The record is from RNAcentral. RNAcentral also lists the same sequence under 2 other names. Lineage: Bacteria; Pseudomonadati; Planctomycetota; Planctomycetia; Planctomycetales; Planctomycetaceae.